This 76-nucleotide small RNA is filed under the name Flavobacterium cutihirudinis. RNAcentral's name for it is "Flavo-1 RNA". It matches the Rfam family "Flavo-1 RNA". The record is from RNAcentral. Lineage: Bacteria; Pseudomonadati; Bacteroidota; Flavobacteriia; Flavobacteriales; Flavobacteriaceae.
AUUUAGCCCCGAUCGAAACGAUAUCCUUUUGUGGCGGUGUUCGCCAUAAAAGAUAUAGUGUAGAGCGGGACGAGUG